RNAcentral lists this ribosomal RNA (740 nucleotides) under Staphylococcus aureus. RNAcentral's name for it is "partial 23S ribosomal RNA". It matches the Rfam family "Bacterial large subunit ribosomal RNA", at positions 819 to 1559 of the family's 2925-position model. The record is from RNAcentral. Lineage: Bacteria; Bacillati; Bacillota; Bacilli; Caryophanales; Staphylococcaceae.
CGGAGAAAUUCCAAUCGAACCUGGAGAUAGCUGGUUCUCUCCGAAAUAGCUUUAGGGCUAGCCUCAAGUGAUGAUUAUUGGAGGUAGAGCACUGUUUGGACGAGGGGCCCCUCUCGGGUUACCGAAUUCAGACAAACUCCGAAUGCCAAUUAAUUUAACUUGGGAGUCAGAACAUGGGUGAUAAGGUCCGUGUUCGAAAGGGAAACAGCCCAGACCACCAGCUAAGGUCCCAAAAUAUAUGUUAAGUGGAAAAGGAUGUGGCGUUGCCCAGACAACUAGGAUGUUGGCUUAGAAGCAGCCAUCAUUUAAAGAGUGCGUAAUAGCUCACUAGUCGAGUGACACUGCGCCGAAAAUGUACCGGGGCUAAACAUAUUACCGAAGCUGUGGAUUGUCCUUUGGACAAUGGUAGGAGAGCGUUCUAAGGGCGUUGAAGCAUGAUCGUAAGGACAUGUGGAGCGCUUAGAAGUGAGAAUGCCGGUGUGAGUAGCGAAAGACGGGUGAGAAUCCCGUCCACCGAUUGACUAAGGUUUCCAGAGGAAGGCUCGUCCGCUCUGGGUUAGUCGGGUCCUAAGCUGAGGCCGACAGGCGUAGGCGAUGGAUAACAGGUUGAUAUUCCUGUACCACCUAUAAUCGUUUUAAUCGAUGGGGGGACGCAGUAGGAUAGGCGAAGCGUGCGAUUGGAUUGCACGUCUAAGCAGUAAGGCUGAGUAUUAGGCAAAUCCGGUACUCGUUAAGGCUGA